RNAcentral lists this ribosomal RNA (301 nucleotides) under uncultured bacterium. RNAcentral's name for it is "partial 16S ribosomal RNA". It matches the Rfam family "Bacterial small subunit ribosomal RNA", at positions 509 to 809 of the family's 1533-position model. The record is from RNAcentral.
CAGCCGCCACGGUAAUACAGAGGGUGCGAGCGUUAAUCGGAUUUACUGGGCGUAAAGCGUGCGUAGGCGGCUUUUUAAGUCGGAUGUGAAAUCCCUGAGCUUAACUUAGGAAUUGCAUUCGAUACUGGGAAGCUAGAGUAUGGGAGAGGAUGGUAGAAUUCCAGGUGUAGCGGUGAAAUGCGUAGAGAUCUGGAGGAAUACCGAUGGCGAAGGCAGCCAUCUGGCCUAAUACUGACGCUGAGGUACGAAAGCAUGGGGAGCAAACAGGAUUAGAUACCCCAGUAGUCCCUGUCUCUUAUUA